RNAcentral lists this ribosomal RNA (218 nucleotides) under uncultured bacterium. RNAcentral describes it as "partial 16S ribosomal RNA". It matches the Rfam family "Bacterial small subunit ribosomal RNA", at positions 524 to 740 of the family's 1533-position model. The record is from RNAcentral.
UACAGAGACUGCAAGCGUUAUUCGGAUUCACUGGGCGUAAAGGGUGCGCAGGCGGUUGGGUGUGUCAGAUGUGAAAUCCCGAGGCUUAACCUCGGAACUGCGUCUGAAACUACUCGACUAGAGUACUGGAGAGGGAACGGAAUUCACGGUGUAGCAGUAGAAAUGCGUAGAUAUCGAUGAUGGAACACCAGAGGCGAAGGCGGUUCCUGGACAGUUAC